GACGAACGCUGGCGGCGUGCUUAACACAUGCAAGUCGAACGGUAAGGCCCUUCGGGGUACACGAGUGGCGAACGGGUGAGUAACACGUGGGUGAUCUGCCCUGCACUUCGGGAUAAGCCUGGGAAACUGGGUCUAAUACCGGAUAGGACCACUGCCUGCAUGGGUGGUGGUGGAAAGCUUUUGCGGUGUGGGAUGGGCCCGCGGCCUAUCAGCUUGUUGGUGGGGUGAUGGCCUACCAAGGCGACGACGGGUAGCCGGCCUGAGAGGGUGACCGGCGACACUGGGACUGAGAUACGGCCCAGACUCCUACGGGGGGCAGCAGUGGGGAAUAGUGCACAAUGGGCGCAAGCCUGAUGCAGCGACGCCGCGUGAGGGAUGACGGCCUUCGGGUUGUAAACCUCUUUCAGCACCGACGAAGCGCAAGUGACGGUAGGUGCAGAAGAAGGACCGGCCAACUACGUGCCAGCAGCCGCGGUAA
This 478-nucleotide ribosomal RNA is filed under the name uncultured bacterium. RNAcentral describes it as "partial 16S ribosomal RNA". It matches the Rfam family "Bacterial small subunit ribosomal RNA", at positions 28 to 523 of the family's 1533-position model. The record is from RNAcentral.